GACGAACGCUGGCGGCGUGCUUAACACAUGCAAGUCGAACGGAAAGGCCCUGCUUUUGUGGGGUGCUCGAGUGGCGAACGGGUGAGUAACACGUGAGUAACCUGCCCUUGACUUUGGGAUAACUUCAGGAAACUGGGGCUAAUACCGGAUAGGAGCUCCUGCUGCAUGGUGGGGGUUGGAGAGUUUCGGUGGUUGGGGAUGGACUCGCGGCGUAUCAGCUUGUUGGUGAGGUAGCGGCUUACCAAGGCUUUGACGGGUAGCCGACCUGAGAGGGUGAUCGGCCACCAUGGAACUGAGACACGGGCCAGACUCCUACGGGAGGCAGCAGGAGGGAAGCUUCCGCAAUGGGCGAAAGCCUGACGGAGCAACGCCGCGUGAGUGAUGAAGGUCUGCGGAUCGUAAAACGCUGUUAUUAGGGAAGAACAUAUGUGUAAGUAACUGUGCACAGCUUGACGGUACCUAAUCAGAAAGCCACGGCUAACUACGUG
Molecule: ribosomal RNA, 488 nt
Filed under: uncultured bacterium
Lineage: Bacteria
Description: partial 16S ribosomal RNA
Rfam family: Bacterial small subunit ribosomal RNA
Source: RNAcentral